AUCGCUUCUCGGCCUUUUGGCUAAGAUCAAGUGUAGUAUCUGUUCUUAUCAGUUUAAAAUGCCAGGGCGAGCCGAAACCGGUUUGGCUCAGUGGAUAGAGCGUCGGCCUGUGGACUGAAGGGUCCCGGGUUCGAUUCCGGUCGGGGGCAUGUACCUGGGUUGCGGGCACUUCCC
Molecule: small nuclear RNA, 174 nt
Filed under: Myotis davidii
Lineage: Eukaryota; Metazoa; Chordata; Mammalia; Chiroptera; Vespertilionidae
Description: U2 spliceosomal RNA
Rfam family: U2 spliceosomal RNA
About the family: U2 is a small nuclear RNA (snRNA) component of the spliceosome (involved in pre-mRNA splicing).
Source: Rfam by way of RNAcentral